Molecule: ribosomal RNA, 491 nt
Filed under: Escherichia coli
Lineage: Bacteria; Pseudomonadati; Pseudomonadota; Gammaproteobacteria; Enterobacterales; Enterobacteriaceae
Description: partial 23S ribosomal RNA
Rfam family: Bacterial large subunit ribosomal RNA
Source: RNAcentral
GAACUGAAACAUCUAAGUACCCCGAGGAAAAGAAAUCAACCGAGAUUCCCCCAGUAGCGGCGAGCGAACGGGGAGCAGCCCAGAGCCUGAAUCAGUGUGUGUGUUAGUGGAAGCGUCUGGAAAGGCGCGCGAUACAGGGUGACAGCCCCGUACACAAAAAUGCACAUGCUGUGAGCUCGAUGAGUAGGGCGGGACACGUGGUAUCCUGUCUGAAUAUGGGGGGACCAUCCUCCAAGGCUAAAUACUCCUGACUGACCGAUAGUGAACCAGUACCGUGAGGGAAAGGCGAAAAGAACCCCGGCGAGGGGAGUGAAAAAGAACCUGAAACCGUGUACGUACAAGCAGUGGGAGCACAGAGCAAUCUGUGUGACUGCGUACCUUUUGUAUAAUGGGUCAGCGACUUAUAUUCUGUAGCAAGGUUAACCGAAUAGGGGAGCCGAAGGGAAACCGAGUCUUAACUGGGCGUUAAGUUGCAGGGUAUAGACCCGAAA